This 29-nucleotide non-coding RNA is filed under the name Homo sapiens (human). The record is from RNAcentral. Lineage: Eukaryota; Metazoa; Chordata; Mammalia; Primates; Hominidae.
UCUGUAACAGAAGUGGAGGCAGAUUGCAA